Molecule: long non-coding RNA, 1323 nt
Filed under: Equus caballus (horse)
Lineage: Eukaryota; Metazoa; Chordata; Mammalia; Perissodactyla; Equidae
Description: lncRNA (ENSECAG00000048555.1)
Source: RNAcentral
CAUAGUGCCUACUUCACGGAGUUGUCGUGAAGAUUAAAUGUUAAUCUAUGUAAAGAGCUAGAAGCGUGCCUGGCACAUAAUAAGCCCCAGAUCAACAGCUAGCGAACUAUAAUUUACAUUUUUUUUUUUUAUAAUUUACAUUUUUAAGUGAGUAGUUAAUACCCAACAGUUCUCAAUUACCCAUGCCUGCUAGGAUAUACAGGAGUUUCCUUAAUCCUCAAAUCAUUUAUAUGUGACUUGGGAGUUAAUGACGUAAUUUUUGUGUUGGAUUUACUUUGUUAAUAGUAGUUGCUGUUGCUCAUAGUUGAAUUAUGACAAACUUACACACAUCUCGUCCUUUAUCCUCUUCUCUUUGGUCAAAUAAAAAAUGCCUGUACUUUCAAAAUAAGUGGACACAAUAGAAUAGAAAUCAUCUAUUCAUUACAAACAAAGUUUAAUUCCACCUCUGGAGACUGGGGAAAGAGAGUUCUCAGGCUGUGCUAGGAGGAGAGUUAUUGGAGAGCAAUUUAACGAUAAUUACCAAAAUAUAAAAUGCGAAUACCCUUUGACCCAGCAAUUCUGCUUAUAGGAAUUUCUCCCCUGGAAUUAAUUUGAUUGAGUAUGCAAAUGAAUAUGUACAAGGACUCACCUUUCAGAGUAGCAUUGUCCAUGAGAGCAGUCAGCAGAAUACAACUGAAAUUUCCAUGAGCACCGGCAGAGCCGGUCAAAUUAUGAUACAGCCAUGCAGCGGAUGACCACACAAAUCUUUUUAUUUUUUUAAGGCACAGUUGACGCAUGUGUGUUGACCUGGAGAGUGGUUGAAGGUCAAUUAUUAAGUAAACAAAAAGCCAGUUGCAGAGCCCUCUGUCCAGUAUAAUCCCGUUUGAUGUUUAGAAGAGAAGGUAUGAGCAUGGAUAUUGUCUCGAAGGCUAUGGAAUAACUGGAAUGCUGGCCAUCUCUGCUUCUCUGGAGCCUGCACCUUCGCUCAGAUCGUUAUUCGACUGUGAAGAGGCUGCGGACCGCACACGCGGAAACGUGGCGUGGCCUUGAUCCCAGGCUCUUUGUUCCCCAUCUUCCUUGGCCAACUUCGCUGAUGACCCGUGGCAGGGAUACGGCUGUGCUCGCUUUGGUUCACCCUACUCUGAUUGCCUCCUAUCCGUGGGCUUAGUCGCACUCUUACUGAAAAUUUUCAUUUGGUCCAUUUUAGGAUGGCUCCCAACGAACCUCUAACAGCUGUGUCCAGGAUGUAUUGUGAAAACAACCCAAAAUGGUACCCAGUUUGUUCUGUUUAGACAACUGGGAGGAGAUGGGAAGCAAAAUGUUUGAAAGUCAUUUCAUUUAAAU